This is a long non-coding RNA of Dermacentor andersoni, 423 nucleotides long. RefSeq lists it as uncharacterized. NCBI's taxonomy places the organism in Eukaryota, Metazoa, Arthropoda, Arachnida, Ixodida, Ixodidae. The record is from RefSeq and is a predicted model, not a curated record.
UUCGUCUCCGCAACGAAAGCCGCCAUCCCUUCGCGCCUGCCGUUUUGUCAUAGUUUUGUUUUCUGCAAGUCCGUGCACGCAGCUCAUCGGUAGAUGCACGGGUGCACGGCGUCGCAUUGCGACCUGCGGCAUUUUCUCGUGUUCGCGCAAUCGGUGUGCGACAUGUCGCAUUUGAAAUAUUUGAUAGAAGUGCCUCACGUCCAAGUCAAGCCGCCGUACGGGUGUAUGGCUGUGUGCCCCGUUCUCGGAAGCGUCGACGGGCUUCCGGCAUGCGGAUUUCAGAGUUUGGACUCGACUUUUGGUGAGGAUGUCGAUCGACCUUGGGCCUGGUGACAGCACACCCGACAUGGCCAAAGUGCAGCCUAUCAGUUGAGUGCCCCCGAAUGGACCAUCAACAUCGGAAAAUGAAGCAGAGCCAGGUAG